CCUACGGGUGGCUGCAGUGAGGAAUAUUGGUCAAUGGCCGGAAGGCUGAACCAGCCAAGCCGCGUGAGGGAGGAAGGCGCGGAGCGUCGCAGACCUCUUUUGCCGGGGGACACAAGGCCGGACUCGUUCGGACCUGAGGGUACCCGGAGAAAAAGCAUCGGCUAACUCCGUGCCAGCAGCCGCGGUAAUACGGGGGAUGCGAGCGUUAUCCGGAUUCAUUGGGUUUAAAGGGUGCGCAGGUGGGCCUUAAGGCCGGCGGUGACAUCGGGGGGCUAAACCCUGACGAGCCGUCGAAACUGGGGGCCUUGAGUGCGGGAGAGGCAUGCGGAAUGCGCGGUGUAGCGGUGAAAUGCAUAGAUAUCAGGCAGAACCCCGAUUGCGAAGGCAGCGUGCCGUGCCGCCACUGACGGUGAGGCGCGAAAGCGCGGGGAUCGAACAGGAUUAGAUACCCGGGUAGUC
RNAcentral lists this ribosomal RNA (459 nucleotides) under uncultured bacterium. RNAcentral's name for it is "partial 16S ribosomal RNA". It matches the Rfam family "Bacterial small subunit ribosomal RNA", at positions 338 to 795 of the family's 1533-position model. The record is from RNAcentral.